RNAcentral lists this ribosomal RNA (610 nucleotides) under Rhodotorula glutinis. Its description in RNAcentral is "eukaryotic LSU rRNA". The stretch from base 183 to 336 matches the Rfam family "5.8S ribosomal RNA". The record is from RNAcentral. Lineage: Eukaryota; Fungi; Basidiomycota; Microbotryomycetes; Sporidiobolales; Sporidiobolaceae.
UCCGUAGGUGAACCUGCGGAAGGAUCAUUAGUGAAUCUAGGACGUCCAACUUAACUUGGAGUCCGAACUCUCACUUUCUAACCCUGUGCAUCUGUUAAUUGGACUAGUAGCUCUUCGGAGUGAACCGCCAUUCACUUAUAAACACAAAGUCUAUGAAUGUAUACAAAUUUAUAACAAAACAAAACUUUCAACAACGGAUCUCUUGGCUCUCGCAUCGAUGAAGAACGCAGCGAAAUGCGAUACGUAAUGUGAAUUGCAGAAUUCAGUGAAUCAUCGAAUCUUUGAACGCACCUUGCGCUCCUUGGUAUUCCGAGGAGCAUGCCUGUUUGAGUGUCAUGAAAUCUUCAACCCACCUCUUUCUUAGUGAAUCUGGUGGUGCUUGGUUUCUGAGCGCUGCUCUGCUUCGGCUUAGCUCGUUCGUAAUGCAUUAGCAUCCGCAACCGAACUUCGGAUUGACUUGGCGUAAUAGACUAUUCGCUGAGGAUUCUAGUUUACUAGAGCCGAGUUGGGUUAAAGGAAGCUCCUAAUCCUAAAGUCUAUUUUUUGAUUAGAUCUCAAAUCAGGUAGGACUACCCGCUGAACUUAAGCAUAUCAAUAAGCGGAGGAAAAG